RNAcentral lists this small RNA (2594 nucleotides) under Pongo abelii (Sumatran orangutan). RNAcentral's name for it is "retained intron". Lineage: Eukaryota; Metazoa; Chordata; Mammalia; Primates; Hominidae. The record is from RNAcentral.
GUGGUCCUGUGGGCCUCUGCAGUGGACGCAGAGGCACCUGCUUUCUGGCCUGGACUUUCCCGUCAGUUUCUCUUACCUGUCCAGGAUAUCCCGCUCAGUGCCUGUGCCUGAAGAGGCACAGAAUUCAGGAGGUCUCUGUAGGGAGCUCAUUGUUCACUUUCUCAGGCAAAGGUAGUAAACACUGCUCCUUCCCACCAGCUUCAGGUUCUUCCUGGUGAUUCUGUCCAAUUUGGAGCUCCCAAACAACUGAUUUGCCUCCUUGAUGAUGAUAAUUCCCAGAAAGCAGGUGAUGUUAGAGACAGUGCUGGUUAGCUAGGCUCCUAUUUCAACUAGGUCUCAUCCUAGUUUUCUGCAGUUUGGCUGCAGGUUUCUUGCCUUUUUUUUUUUCAUCUCAAAUACUGUUUAUUACACGACAGGAAACAUCAUUGGAUGGUGAACCUAUGUUUUCAAGAUUGUUUGCAGUUUUUUUGAUACUCUAAGUUACUUGGUAAAUACUAUGGGAUUCGUUUCAAAAUUGUGAUCACUUGUGUCUAGAGAUAUGUGCUUGGAGGCAGGUACGUCCUCUGCUCUUUGCUAUAGCUAAGGGUGAAUUAUUGUGCAGUUUAAGCACACAUAGCAGUAGGCGUGGCUGAUUGUUGGCCUACAUGUGCCCAGGGCAUUGUUUCAUACAUUACAUCAAUUCACAUUCACAAGUACCCCUUGGCUACACUGGGAUUUGAGUUCAGGACAGUAGAGCCUGAUCCUAAAGUCCACAUUUUUUUGCCCUGUUCUCCUGCCACUGAAUUCCCUUCCUGUUUCUUGAUCCCCUUACUGAAUCCUCUUUUCUCUCCUCACAGGCGGAUGAAGACCCCAUCAUGGGGUUCCACCAGAUGUUCCUAUUAAAGAACAUCAACGAUGCUUGGGUUUGCACCAAUGACAUGUUCAGGCUCGCCCUGCACAACUUUGGCUGACCUCCUCUCAGCUAGGCACUCACGCUGUUUCCUCCUCCCUCCUCUUCCCAAUACUAUUCUCACUCCUCCAGAUGCUCCAAAUAUCAUGCACAAAUGAGCAGGGCCGCGGUGGGAGUGGGCGCAGUGCGCUGCUGCCACCGAGGUGUUGUGCAUGAUGUUUGGACGCUAGACUAGUUGCAUCUGACGGGAGAAGUUUGUGUUGUACCAGCGCAUGCCUUGGAAAGACUUAAGUAAUGCAAAAGGUUGUCCUUUUUUUUUUUUUUUUUUUUUUAAUCUACUGACAAGUUGCUCUAGUAACCCAAAGAAGUGAAGGAGAAAGCAGCUGCCUCACCGCCCAGACAUUGAUUUGUUCAGAUGUUUCAAUGCCUCAUGAUACAAUAAAACCACAAAAAUUUUCUUAACAGUUUAAAUUGUUUUAAUUAGUUUACUAGUUGGCUGGGCAUCAGAAGCUACCCGGACCCAUUAUCUCUCUCAUGUCUCACCCUCCCACUUCUGCCCCAACUCUGAAUACCUGUUGCAGGGAGAAACUGCUGAAGCAGCACUCCCAGCUAGCCUCUCAGAAGCCCUGUAGGGCAGUUCUCUCCCACUCCGCAGGGCGACUGGUCUUUGGAAUGCAGGCAGGAAGAGCUCAGGUCUGGCCUGAAGCUUCUCUCACUGAAGCCUGUGCAGUCAGUUCUGAUACCUCCUGUGACUUCUGCUCUGGGUAGGUUCAGGGCCCUAGUAGCCGGAGAGAUGAUCCUGAAUCCUGUUGAAGCUGGAGAGGCCUUGGCAAAAUGGCCCAUCACGUUCAGGCCCUCCAGGCUGAGUUGUCAGCAGUAUCAAGGGAGGGGCCUGCUCUAUCCCCAGAAGGAUCAGGAUCAUAUCCAGGAUGCCCCCACAUACACCAAGCCAGGCAGAGGGCAGCUCAGCUCCUGCCCCAUCUGCUUUGGAUAUCAUUACCCAAAGGCAGGUAACCCGAAGAGCCAGCCUCCACUGCCCACAGAGCCAGGCCCAGUUGGGUUGGAGUAUAGGUCAGGAGCUGCAGUCUGUGAGGGACUCAUACUUGAGGAGUCCUCACCCCUCAGACUGCUGCAGGACAUUGCCAGACCUCUCUCUACUUCCUUCCUCAGCAUACAGACUUCAUGCUAUCUUCAAAUUCCAGGGAGUCUUAGCUAUUAGGGCAGUUUCUGCUUCUCCAUUUUGGGGACAAAGGCCUUGCCCAGUACAAAUCUAGCCCCUCGUCCCACAGACUUCUGGAUGGUAUAAACCUAGUGGCAACGUAGCAACCAUAGGCUAGAACCAAACCCAAGAUUUGGGUCAGUGCCCUGUUAAGGGUUUUAGGAUUGGUAAGGACACCACAGCUAAAUCUGACUGUAAAAGGAUACCCUUCCCCCGUCCCACUACGGGUGGAGGCUAAGGACCUCCUCAGAUCCCACAGAUUGCCUGGUGACAUUGGGCACAGGGCUGGAUGGUGUGUUGUUUGAGAGGACAGCAUGCUCAGGAGAUUUCAGUGGGAAUGAUCUCUAGGCUGAUGUGUAUUUGGGGAAGUGGGGGUGGGGAAGAGGUAGGUGCGUGCUGCCUCAAACCACCUUGUGUAAAAUCUGCAAUACCGCUUCUUCCAUGUACCUGUGCCUGAACUGUCUGCAAUAAAGAAGAAUUUGUAAA